AGCCCGUCUGCAUGUCAGUUUCGCUGUGUAUUGUGCGCCUCUGUGUCACGAGUGAUUUCUCUCGUCCAGUCCUACCCAACUCAGGAAAAUAAAGAUCAGUGCCUGGACAAUACGUCCGGACUUUCUGACCGUUAUUGUUUCCGAGUUCAAAGAAGCAAUUCUUUCCGAGUACAAAGAAGCAAUUUGAUCGAGUACAACGAAAUUGUACGAAGUGACCAUGGACAGGAUGCAAGAAGAUCACGGGCUGACGGUAGAGCUGGGGAUAGUCAUGUCAACCAUGCCUUCUCCCCCCUUGGCUCUGCCUCAUAACAAACAGCGACCUACAAUUUAUGUUUACCCUACUGUACAACCGGAGACCAUUGUCAUCCCCAUAGUGUCGUGUAUCCUUGGGUUUCCCCUGCUAGCCCUCCUGGUGAUCUGCUGUCUCAGACGUCGUGCCAAGCUCGCCAGGGAGCGUGACCGACGUCGCGCAGGCAACUGCGAGUCCGACCCCGGGGCCAUCUCCUUGGUCAGGUUCAGCCCUAUGCACAGACUCGAAGACGAGGUUGGACAUGUUGUGAUGACGGAGGAGGAGUGUACCUGGCCGGCCCCACAGCAGGGCGUAACCGAGCAGUGAGUCUGCGCAGUGAGAGAGCUCUCAGUCGCGCCUUCCCCUCGGCAGAGCUCGACACUGUCGUGGAGGAGCGGAGCGAUCCCGACCCCGAGUCUACUGCCGUGGAGGUCCUGAGUCCGGACAGCUAGCAGAACGGGGUGGAGGGGAAGGUGAUGCCGAGGUCUCCACUGUGGAACACGCUGACCAACAACACUGACGACCAGCCUGAGGCUGUCAGCUGACAUCAACUCAACAUUUGAUCGUCAAUCGUGGACAUGACAGUGCUGCCCACGCUGCUGACAUGGCCACCUGCCGCCACCACCCUCACGCCCUCGCCGACCUCGGACACCGAUACCAAAAUAGAUAUCGAGUGUGUAUAGCACAUCGUGUAAAGUUAACUUUCGUGGGUGAUGAAAACAUUAAUGGCAUUGUUUAAAAAAAUAAUCAUCAAAGUUUUCUUUUUUUGUGUAUUAGUGUUUAAAAAAUCUAAAAGCAAUCAAAAAUAGGGGUUGAAACUUAAAAAUAUUUCAAACUCAUUUUGUACAUCCAUCCCAAAGACCUUUCUCUUCUGUUGGUUUAUGACUUGAAAACGAAACCGUUACACCAAUUUUGAGCCGAAAAUAUUUUUAUUUGCAUAAAACAAACGAUGAUUUCCAUUUCAAUUGAAAAGUGUACUUUAGGAGGUGUACAUUACGUCGGCUCAUGCCUUUUGUUAGUAAAGGAUGGAUAACAUAGUGUUUUGUUUAAUUGGUUGAAAACUAUAAAUCCUCAUAUUUAUCCGUUACAAAAAUGGAACUAAACUGAAGUAUAAAGUCCACGUUUAGUGAGCAAGUAUUGAAGGCAAGUAGCAUGAUAUUCUACCGACAUCUUACUGAACCUUACUUUAUUAAUGUACUUACACCUUAUCUGUUUAUUAUUACCCCUCUUAAUUCUUACGCUAAUAAUGUUUUCAUCGAGAGUGACAUGAGACGAUUCCUUUAUAUAAAAGUGGUGUUUUUUACAUCUUCCAAAAACUUUUGCUAGAAGGACAUUCAAGGACUCCUUUUACUGGAGAGGAAUUACUUUAGGAGACCAAAAAACAGUAUAUUUUGUAGAGUGACAUAUUUUUAAUACUCAAGACCAGCAAUCUUGAUGACACAAUCACAUGGCCAUGCCUUAUACUGUAUACAGUUAGAGAUACGAUGUACUUUAUAGCCUAUGCCAGUUAGGUGCUAUAGCUUUUCGUUACCUGUUUGUUAUAUUCUACUAUUGUUUACCACAGUAUUCUUGUUGUCGGUUAUUGCAGUAUUUGCUAGGAUCUAGAUUUGUUAAGGUCUUUGUUCACUUAGCGAAGUUAUUGUAAUUGUUACAUUGUAUUGUACGUUAGUGUUGGUUAUAGUUACAUGGGCUUUGACCGGUUCUGUUUGUCCGUUCGCUGAUAGGUAACAGGGUAUAGCUUGUAUUGAACGCGGUUAGAGUUAGUCUAAUAUCGUUCCAUGUUUGAAAUCGUUGAAAAAUGUUUUACUGCAACAAAACAGUUUGGUUUAGCAGAAAAUUUAACUUUAUAACGAAGUAACUAUAACAGAAUCCUUUAUAUCCGUAACUGACGUAACUGGGGCGUGGUUAAAACGGAAAAUAUUCCGAUAAUACAAGAAGAAAAAGUACUUUUCCCAUGCAAAUAAUAUCUACAUAUUUAACAAAAGGCACUCAUUCAGUAUUAUAGAAAUAAUAUUUAGUUAACAAAUAUAGUAUAUAUCGUACUAAUAAGAAAACUAAUUGACGAAAAGUCCGAUCAUGAAUGUUAUAGUCUCAUACCGGAAACAAGCAGAAGGACGGACUCUAGUCCGGAUAUCCUGAAGAGUCAGUUAUCCGAGGUCGGAUAUAAGGGGUUCUGCUCUAUACAAAAUUCAAUUUGUACUGAAACUUAAAUCGGAAACAUGUUAUUUAUGUUUAAAACACUGUACAUCUCCCUAAAAAUUUAAACUAAUUAAAAAAUAAUGACUAGUUUUAGCAUAUAUUGGUAAAGUUUAUCAAUAUAUAUGUUCACUACUUUACUAAAUUAUUUUUCUCAACGAUUAAUUAUUAUAUUAUUACGGUCUUCUGUACAUCCAUCAUUACAAUAGAUUGCCCAUUACCAGCGUGGUGUAGGGACCAUAAUUAUUACCCAUUCUCCAUUGAAAACUCAACAAAGCUAUCUUAAAAGAUACCACAUUGAGUAUAAAUAAAAUGACCCACCCCUGCCACUAUUAAAUUUUAAUAACAAAACUAAAAUUAAGGACGAUAACCAACAUACAUGAUUAUAAAGUAGAUAGGAAUUAUAAUAGUAUCUCAUACAUAUUCCCCAAAUGGUGGUGAAAAAAACAUAACAUUUUCAAUUGAAAACCUUAAAAAUCUAAAAAAAAGAACAGAAGCUAAAAUAAAAGUCCUAUGUCAAUAAUUUUUAAAGGAUCAUACAAUAAAGGUUUUCCAUUCACAAUUUGUAUCUUUAAACAGCAUUUACACAAAACUGUAGAUUGUUAUUUAAAUAAACUUUAAUUUGAUCAAUGGAUGAUUUAGAAUACUAAAAAAUCACCAUAUAAAUUAUGAGGAGGCGUGCAGAAUUAAAACAUAUUUCAAAACAUAAUUCUAUUUAUGUACUUAUGGGAAUAAACAGAGUAUUUAGUUUUUUUUUAUUGGUGCACUUCAUCAUGAAAAGAAAUAAAUAAAUGUAUUUCAUUAAAAACCUACCUUUAAAUGUACUUUAAUAGGUCAUUUUAUAUGUAUAAGAUAACAAUAUUUUGUAAGUCACAGUGAGUUUUAAUUGUUACGUGUCAUGAGAUGAGGUUUAUUCAAUCUUAUGAUUUAUUUAUUUCUCCUUACAUAACCAGUUUGACAAAAGAUAGAAAUUAAAGAAUAAUUCAAAACUAAUCAUUACGUAGUUAAAUAGACACCAUUCCACCCUUUACAUUACUUUCGGAUUUAUUACAAUGAUUUAUAAUGCCAAAAGCAGAAAGUUCUUUCUUUCCAAUGUGUGUUUCUUCUAUAUUUUUAAUUAUAAUAAUGUACAGUAGUAUUUGGUCAUCACUUUUUGAGGUUACAUUACGUUAUAGGUCUUAAUGUACAUAUUUUAGAUUUCUGGUGUCACUAAUAAUUGUUACAGAUAACAUUGAUUGUACUUAUAUCAAAUUUAUUUUUAAGGGUGUAAAUUGCUAGUCUGAAUUAAAUUUAUAUUGUUGGAGUUUUAAUACUUUAUAGUCUGAUUGUACAAAACCUUCACGUAUUAAUUUUAGCCUAAGUAAUUAUUCGUGUUUAUGUACUGUAUAUGUUUUGUAAAUUGUUAUAAGGUAUUAUUAUUGUUGAUUUUUAAUGUAUUUUAUAUUUAAUACUGAUAGAAACAUCAAAAUUGUAAAUAAUUUAGUCAUAACACUGAUCUAGGCUUUAUAAGUUUUACACUCAGUUUUGUAAUCAUUUUAGUGCUGUUUGCUAAUAAUAGUUUUUAUUAUUUACGUUGCUAAACACAUCACAAAGCUUUAGAAACUUUGUAACUAACAAUUUCUGAGGAAGUUUUGUUACCAACGUUUGGUUAUUAAUGUAAAAAUAAUAAUUUUUAUUUGAUAAUGACCAUGAGUUGGGUUGUGUUGGGCAAUUUCAAAGAUUUUCAGUUAACACGAGACGGUUGCAUAUCAAAUAAGUGUUCAUCAAUUAUUGAAACCACGGAAUCUAAUUACAUUUAAUAGUGUUUCUUAUCAUAGCUUAAUAACAUUAUUUGAAAACAGCUAAGAAUAUUAUAUUGCAACCAAACAUGUCUCACAACUUUUAAUUUCAGCGAAACAAUAGUUACUAAGAUACAUUUAUAUAGAUUAAGACAUAAAAUGUAAAAAAAUCAGAUAAACAAUAAAACUAACUUUAUUAAUUAUAAUGCAUUUGGGAAGUUGUGUAAGUAUGCCAAGAUUCUCCCAAGGCUUAUUAUUUUAUGAGUGUGUUUGUUUAUCAUUCAUUAACUGUUGUGUAUAGAACAGUUAAAAAAUAACGCUUAAAGGAGAGACAAUUAUUUCGUUCGAAUCUAAAUAAUAGCACUUCCAACCAUAACACCUCCCACCUUUUACUGUUGAACUGUGGUACGUACAGCGUGUUUCAGUAAUAAGGAAGAAAUCAAUGGAACAAAUAAUCAUAAAUUUAAGUCAAUCCGUGUUGUUGACGUUGUACCAAACUAUUCAAAAAAUAUAUUCGAUUUAUUCAUUAAAGUGAAAAAAGUGACAUGACUUAUAAAGGAUUCUCGCAUUCUGAUUGUUUUCCAAGUGUUAAGUUUUUGAUACAACAGUCUUUGAUAUUUCUUUUGGUCGGAUAUUAGUUGUCAAUGAGGGGAAACAGGGGUGGUUAAGAAACUGAAACUAAGUAAAGCUUCCUCCGAGGAUGCGCUGACUCUUCAACCCAAUUCCCAUGGUAAACCUGAAUAAUUAAUUUUCCACUUAUACUUAAUUAAAUAGCCAAGAAAAUUAACCUGUUCGUGACAGUGCUUAUUAUAAACAAUUUCCCUAUGCUUUAAUCUUUUAUUGGUCAAUCUAGACAAUUCCAAUUAUUGGUAAAUAUGUUAUUGUUGCUACUGAAAUUGAAAUGUGGCUACGCAUAUUUAAGUCAAUUUAAUUAUUUAAUUAUUUAUUUGCUUCAACAAUAGUUAUUCAUGGAAACACACUCCAACUUUAUUACAUUGGUUUACAUUUAUAAUUGUAGCCCUCUAAAUCGUCUUUCCGAAAGUGAUCAUUGUACAGUUUAGAACCGCACUACCAAUCGCUACUAUUAUUUUGGUCUUGGUAGUAUUGAUAUUUUCCCAAAACAUGGCACAAACCGUCGGUACAGUGCUUAAAUAAUGUAUUACUCUGUUGCUUCUAAUCACUAUUUUCUUGGAACGGGAUGUGAUUCUGAAUAGCAAAAUAUAUGUAGGAAAUGUAUAAGUGAUAGUCUUUGUUUGUAAAUUAAAUGUUAUAAAUACUAUCUAAAACAAUUCAAAAGCAAUUGGAAGAUAUUUUAGACAACUUUUUUUAUGAAAUUGUCGACUCAUUAAAUGACCCUGAAUGAUUACUUCUAUAAAUUUUUCAAAGUUUUUGAUUAAUUUUAUAAAACUGUACAUUCGGAUUUUUUAUGAUAGCACUUCUCUAAAAAACAACGAUAAAUCAAGUUUGUUUUAAGGCUAUAGCAGAAAUUGAUCAAUUAGUUGCUGUAUGAAUCUGCUUGACAAGACAAAGGAUAGAUUUAGUUGUGACUCUGAUAUUGUACAAUCAGUUAUGUACACUGUACAUAGUCGUGGCUUCUACAACUGUGUCUCAUGCAUCGUUAGAUAUUAUUAUUGUAAAGAUUAAAUAAAUAUUAUUCCUACUACAGUA
This 5931-nucleotide unclassified non-coding RNA is filed under the name Homalodisca vitripennis (glassy-winged sharpshooter). Its description in RNAcentral is "uncharacterized LOC124359955, transcript variant X1". The record is from RNAcentral. Lineage: Eukaryota; Metazoa; Arthropoda; Insecta; Hemiptera; Cicadellidae.